RNAcentral lists this transfer RNA (73 nucleotides) under Tursiops truncatus (common bottlenose dolphin). RNAcentral describes it as "tRNA-Cys (ACA) (tRNA-Cys-ACA-2-1, tRNA-Cys-ACA-2-2)". It matches the Rfam family "tRNA". From Rfam's summary of the family: Transfer RNA (tRNA) molecules are approximately 80 nucleotides in length. Lineage: Eukaryota; Metazoa; Chordata; Mammalia; Artiodactyla; Delphinidae. The record is from Rfam by way of RNAcentral.
UUCCUGGUGGUCCAGCGGUUAGGACUCUGCACUACAAAUGCAGGGGGCCCGGGUUCAAUUCCUGGUUAGGGAA